This 477-nucleotide ribosomal RNA is filed under the name uncultured Spirochaetaceae bacterium. RNAcentral's name for it is "bacterial SSU rRNA". It matches the Rfam family "Bacterial small subunit ribosomal RNA", at positions 908 to 1382 of the family's 1533-position model. Lineage: Bacteria; Pseudomonadati; Spirochaetota; Spirochaetia; Spirochaetales; Spirochaetaceae. The record is from RNAcentral.
AAAUUGACGGGGACCCGCACAAGCAGCGAGCAUGUGGUUAAUUCGAAGCAACGCGAAGAACCUUACCAGGGCUUGACAUGCCGCUGACCGGUUUAGAGAUAAACCUUUAUCCUUCGGGGUACAGCGGACACAGGUGGUGCAUGGUUGUCGUCAGCUCGUGUCGUGAGAUGUUGGGUUAAGUCCCGCAACGAGCGCAACCCCUACUGCCAGUUACUAACAGGUAACGCUGAGGACUCUGGCGGAACUGCCGGUGACAAACCGGAGGAAGGUGGGAUGACGUCAAGUCAUCAUGGCCCUUAUGUCCAGGGCUACACACGUGCUACAAUGGGUGAGACAGAGUGACGCGAAGCCGCGAGGUGGAGCAAAUCGCAGAAAAUCAUCCGUAGUUCGGAUUGGAGUCUGAAACCCGACUCCAUGAAGGUGGAAUCGCUAGUAAUCGCGCAUCAGCAUGGCGCGGUGAAUACGUUCCCGGGCCUU